AUUCCAUCCGGGCAAACUUGCCGAAAGGCAAAGACGCAAUGCUACGGGACUAAUGGAUUUUUCCAAUGUCAGCCGGGUUGCAAGU
RNAcentral lists this non-coding RNA (85 nucleotides) under unidentified. RNAcentral's name for it is "Gallionellales bacterium c-di-GMP sequence". It matches the Rfam family "c-di-GMP-I riboswitch aptamer". From Rfam's summary of the family: GEMM was predicted in a large-scale screen for bacterial structured RNA regulatory elements. Genes associated with GEMM are involved in a diverse array of functions, including chemotaxis regulation, signal transduction, secretion and chitin. The record is from RNAcentral.